AAGUUUGAUUCCUGGCUCAGAUUGAACGCUGGCGGCAGGCCUAACACAUGCAAGUCGAGCGGUAACAGGCCCUUCGGGGUGCUGACGAGCGGCGGACGGGUGAGUAAUGCAUAGGAAUCUACCCGGUAGUGGGGGAUAACCUGGGGAAACCCAGGCUAAUACCGCAUACGUCCUACGGGAGAAAGCAGGGGACCUUUUGGCCUUGCGCUAUUGGAUGAGCCUAUGUCGGAUUAGCUGGUUGGUGAGGUAACGGCUCACCAAGGCGACGAUCCGUAGCUGGUCUGAGAGGAUGAUCAGCCACAUCGGGGCUGAGACACGGCCCGAACUCCUACGGGAGGCAGCAGUGGGGAAUAUUGGACAAUGGGCGCAAGCCUGAUCCAGCCAUGCCGCGUGUGUGAAGAAGGCUUUCGGGUUGUAAAGCACUUUCAGUGAGGAAGAACGCCUCGUGUCCAAUACCCACGAGGAAAGACAUCACUCACAGAAGAAGCACCGGCUAACUCCGUGCCAGCAGCCGCGGUAAUACGGAGGGUGCAAGCGUUAAUCGGAAUUACUGGGCGUAAAGCGCGCGUAGGCGGCCAAGUAAGCCGGUUGUGAAAGCCCCGGGCUCAACCUGGGAAUGGCAUCCGGAACUGUUUGGCUAGAGUG
RNAcentral lists this ribosomal RNA (645 nucleotides) under uncultured bacterium. RNAcentral's name for it is "bacterial SSU rRNA". It matches the Rfam family "Bacterial small subunit ribosomal RNA", at positions 9 to 648 of the family's 1533-position model. The record is from RNAcentral.